Molecule: unclassified non-coding RNA, 211 nt
Filed under: plant metagenome
Description: partial contains small subunit ribosomal RNA, internal transcribed spacer 1, and 5.8S ribosomal RNA
Source: RNAcentral
UAUCCGCAGGUGAACCUGCGGAAGGAUCAUUCAUAAUAAAGUGUUUUAUGGCACUUUUUAAAAAUCCAUAUCCACCUUGUGUGCAAUGUUAGAUCUCGUCAAUCUUGGCGAGAUUUUUAUACAUCAACUCAUUCUUUAACUAAUUUGUCUGAAAAAUAUUAUGAAUACUUAAUUCAAAAUACAACUUUCAACAACGGAUCUCUUGGCUCUC